ACGGCGAGUGAAGCGGCAAAAGCUCAAAUUUGAAAGCUAGCACCUUCGGUGUUCGCGUUGUAAUUUGAAGAUAGUUUCCUUGAGUAGUCCUUUAUCUAUGUUCCUUGGAACAGGACGUCAUAGAGGGUGAGAACCCCGUAUGAUUUUGGAUACUACUCUUUGUGGGAUUCUAUCGAAGAGUCGAGUUGUUUGGGAA
This 196-nucleotide ribosomal RNA is filed under the name uncultured Saccharomycopsis. RNAcentral's name for it is "partial 26S ribosomal RNA". It matches the Rfam family "Eukaryotic large subunit ribosomal RNA", at positions 86 to 280 of the family's 3401-position model. Lineage: Eukaryota; Fungi; Ascomycota; Saccharomycetes; Ascoideales; Saccharomycopsidaceae. The record is from RNAcentral.